CUAAAAAUGUGAAGAGAAGGCUUGGAGGAAGGAGGACUCAACUGUGAAGUUUCCAAACCACUGCUUUAGAUUUUAUGAUGCUGAUGUUAUCAUGAG
Molecule: long non-coding RNA, 96 nt
Organism: Corapipo altera (White-ruffed manakin)
Lineage: Eukaryota; Metazoa; Chordata; Aves; Passeriformes; Pipridae
Exons: 4
Source: RefSeq, a predicted model, not a curated record